RNAcentral lists this ribosomal RNA (234 nucleotides) under uncultured bacterium. RNAcentral describes it as "partial 16S ribosomal RNA". It matches the Rfam family "Bacterial small subunit ribosomal RNA", at positions 524 to 757 of the family's 1533-position model. The record is from RNAcentral.
UACGUAGGGUGCAAGCGUUAAUCGGAAUUACUGGGCGUAAAGCGUGCGCAGGCGGUGCUGUAAGACAGGCGUGAAAUCCCCGGGCUUAACCUGGGAAUGGCGCUUGUGACUGCAGUGCUGGAGUGCGGCAGAGGAGGAUGGAAUUCCGCGUGUAGCAGUGAAAUGCGUAGAUAUGCGGAGGAACACCAAUGGCGAAGGCAAUCCCCUGGGCCUGUACUGACGCUCAUGCACGAA